RNAcentral lists this ribosomal RNA (491 nucleotides) under uncultured bacterium. RNAcentral's name for it is "bacterial SSU rRNA". It matches the Rfam family "Bacterial small subunit ribosomal RNA", at positions 28 to 507 of the family's 1533-position model. The record is from RNAcentral.
GAUGAACGCUAGCUACAGGCUUAACACAUGCAAGUCGAGGGGCAGCGGGAUUGAAGCUUGCUUCAAUUGCCGGCGACCGGCGCACGGGUGAGUAGCGCGUAUCCAACCUUCCGUACACUCAGGGAUAGCCUUUCGAAAGAAAGAUUAAUACCUGAUGGUAUCUUAAGCACACAUGUAAUUAAGAUUAAAGAUUUAUCGGUGUACGAUGGGGAUGCGUUCCAUUAGGUAGUAGGCGGGGUAACGGCCCACCUAGCCAACGAUGGAUAGGGGGUUCUGAGAGGAAGGUCCCCCACAUUGGAACUGAGACACGGUCCAAACUCCUACGGGAGGCAGCAGUGAGGAAUAUUGGUCAAUGGACGAGAGUCUGAACCAGCCAAGUAGCGUGAAGGAUGAAGGUCCUACGGAUUGUAAACUUCUUUUAUAAGGGAAUAAACCCUCCCACGUGUGGGAGCUUGUAUGUACCUUAUGAAUAAGCAUCGGCUAACUCCGUG